This 71-nucleotide transfer RNA is filed under the name Meroles squamulosus. RNAcentral describes it as "tRNA-Leu". It matches the Rfam family "tRNA". Rfam says of the family: Transfer RNA (tRNA) molecules are approximately 80 nucleotides in length. The record is from RNAcentral. Lineage: Eukaryota; Metazoa; Chordata; Lepidosauria; Squamata; Lacertidae.
ACUUCUAAAGGAAAUUAGCAAUCCACUGGUCUUAGGCACCAAAAAUCUUGGUGCAACUCCAAGUAGAAGUA